Molecule: long non-coding RNA, 2373 nt
Filed under: Brassica napus (rape)
Lineage: Eukaryota; Viridiplantae; Streptophyta; Magnoliopsida; Brassicales; Brassicaceae
Description: long non-coding RNA (BNAP_LNC007229)
Source: RNAcentral
CGGGUUUUAGAAACAUUGAUAUAACCACUCCGCCUAGGAGAAAAGAAAGACGUGUGUGAUAUUUAGCAGCAAAUCAAAUAGCUGACUCAUACCAAAAGAUUCAAUUGCCAAAUCCAACACAGGCUAUUCAGCUAGAAGUACCAAAUGUUUUUCAAGGAGGGCACAUUAGUAGCAAUUCUAGACACACAUAAUGAACUAAGUCACAGAACAGCUGCAUCAACAUGGACGAGAAGACGAGGUUGCAGAAUGAAAGACCUCCACAGAGAUGCAAAACGGACACUCAGCAAAUAUGCAUUUCCAGCUAAAAAUGUUCACUGCAAUUCAAACUGGUGGUUUCACGUUUGUUUCAAGUUGCUAUUUUCUUUAAGAGACUUGAGUCUUCUGUAGCCCUUAUCGGUACCAAAGAUCCUGAAGAACACAAAGAUGAAAUUGUUGAGGUACCUAUUACAAAUGCAAAGAGAUAAUAAUAGCUCAGAUCAGAUGUUUACCAGUCCAUAUACACAAAAGUUGAAGAGUAGUUUCCAGACUUUGUGUAGAGGAGGCGGUGAUGGUAGUCAUGGAAGUCAGCACUGUAACCAUAUUAGUGAAAAAUUUCAAUUAUUACCAAUCUAUGAAAGCUUUUAAGUUUUCAAGAGAGCUGGCUAGGUAAUGUGAUCUUACCCUCCAUACAGAGGAAGGAAAUUUGAGAGACUCCAUGGGAAAUGAUAGCCACAAUGUGCUUCCACUGUCUCAAGCACUCUCAGAACCAUCCAUAACCAGAGAGUAAUCAAGUGCGGGCCGGUUAGAGCUGGACCGACUAUGGUAGCAAAUCCCAGGAAUAGAAUCUCAGCUGGGUGAGCAUAUUCUGAUGUCAAACCGAACGGUGUGGCAUAUCUGGGAUAAUUAUAAAAUGGCUGCUCUCUCAGAACUUAUCCAAACUUAAAAAGAGUAAAAUAUGAACUGAAACUUACUCAUGAUGCACACUGUGGACGUUCUUGUAAAGCCAUUUUGAGUGCAAGAUCCGAUGACCCCAAUAGAAAACAAAAUCCUCAAUGAUGAAGUAGAAUAAUAUCUGGGCAGACACUUCUUUCCUGCAGGAGCAUCACCAAAACAGGGUCUUAUAUGACCUGAUCAAACAUAAGCUCAGGUGCUUUCAUGAUGCUCAAAACUGACAUUUUUUUCAUUUUUUAUUGCCAGUUGAAAGAGUUUAACAUCAGAACCCAAAGGAAAAAAAAAAAGCUUAAGCACUAAAGGAACCUGAUAAUACCAGGAAGGUAGAGGAAAACUGCUCCGCAUUCCCAUGGCUCUGAAGACAGGAUAGGAGGCCAUCAUAAGGGGCAAAUUCACGCAGAAAUGAUAAAGCAACAGGCGGGUGAUACAUUUUCCUUGGGCAGCAGGUGUGUUGUUCUUUGCCUGCAUGUGACCAAAACAACAGUAUUUGCUCAUCAUAAAAGUAAGGUAAGCUGAGAGAAAGGACAAUAAAUUAGUUUAAUCAGUGAAACAACAAUUUUUAUUUUUACAAACAGUCAUGAACUGGAAAAAAAACAAUUACACAAGUGACUGAUACAUUGGUGACCAACCUAAUAAGAGAUCCUAUUGAAACGAAUCACGAAAAGGUAUCAAAUUCAUACAUAUGAGACUUUUUUUUGAAUAACCCGGUGUAUCCUGGCUCCACCGAGGUGGGUCCAGACUAGCGGGGGAGUGUACGUAACAGCCUACGUUAUCGGCCGGAAUAAGCCUCGGUCACGGGACGCUGGGGGAGCCCAGAUGUUAAAUUUUACCCCCAGUGACCAGCGGGAUUCGAACCGGGGUCAGUAUUGGGACUUUACAAACAAUGAAAUAAGAGAGUUACCUGAAUUUUGUACUUGGUGAGAAAGCCAUGUCUUUCGAGGUAAAUGAAAGGGAGACCAGACAAGAAGAAGACGCUUUCAUGGAGGAGGAAACUCCCAAUGCAGGCCAGUUGAAAGUCGCUAAAAUGCGUCACAAGGUACUGCCAUCAUCCACAGAAAAAAAAAACAUAUUGAUCAGCAACAGAACUUACAUGUCAUUGAUAGCAACAAAAAAAAAAAAACUAUGGCAAAAAGAAAACACAGCGUCAUUAAUUAAGUCGCCUCCUCUCUUUCUAUAUCAUUAAGUGGUAAAAGCACAACACAGGCUAUUCAGCUAGAAGUACCAAAUGUUUUUCAAGGAGGGCACAUUAGUAGCAAUUCUAGACACACAUAAUGAACUAAGUCACAGAACAGCUGCAUCAACAUGGACGAGAAGACGAGGUUGCAGAAUGAAAGACCUCCACAGAGAUGCAAAACGGACACUCAGCAAAUAUGCAUUUCCAGCUAAAAAUGUUCACUGCAAUUCAAACUGGUGGUUUCACGUUUGUUUCAAGUUGCUAUUUUC